Molecule: long non-coding RNA, 1522 nt
Organism: Anthonomus grandis grandis
Lineage: Eukaryota; Metazoa; Arthropoda; Insecta; Coleoptera; Curculionidae
Exons: 3
Source: RefSeq, a predicted model, not a curated record
GGUACCAUAAAAACAGAUUGGUAUCAAAAACCAACUUUUUCAGAACGCAUUUUAAAUUAUUUUUCAGAACAUCCUAUGACACACAAAAUAAAUGUAAUAAAAAACCUAAAACAUCGGUGCUUGAGACUUUCUAGUCCAGAAUAUCAUAAAAAAAACCUUCAUUAUGUUCAGACAAUUUUAAAGAAAAACAACUACCCCCUAUCAAUUAUUAAAAAAAUAAUUAACGACACCGAGAACAUUACUCAAAAUAUUACACGAAACAAUGAAAAUAAUCAAUUGGCUUAUUUCAAGAUUCCUUACAUUAACACACUUUCUCAUAAAAUUAAAAAGACCAUACAAUCAAAAUCUGAUGUUAUUAAAAUCUCAGAAAGAAGUGAAAACUCGGGCCCUGAUGAAGCAAUAAAAUUAUUGCGAAACGUUGGCCAGUACAUAAAGUGACGUUUGUUUUUAUUCCUUCGAUCCCAUCCCACAACUAAACUCAAGAUUUCAAACCUAUAGGAUUGCAACUAGAAUAUAUUAUUAGAGUUAGUACGGCCAGCAAUUAUGAAACAAAAUACAGUAAUGAGAGAUGCAAUUAGUGCGGAAGAAAGAUUAACUGUUACUUUGAGAUAUUUGGCUACUGGAAAUUCCUAUGAAGACCUUAAAUUCAGUACAGCUAUAUCACCUCAGUCCAUAGGUCAAAUCGUUCGUGAAACCUGCCGAGCUAUUUAUGAAUCACUAAAAAGAGAAUACUUGAAGGUCCCAUCGCAUGAACAAGAGUGGCAACAAGUUGCAGAUGAUUUUAAACAGAUGUGGCAAUUCGACAACUGCUUGGGAGCGAUGGACGGAAAGCAUAUCACUAUUAAAAAACCAGCCAAAAGUGGAUCAUUUUAUUUUAACUACAAAGGUACUUUUAGCGUUGUGUUAUUUGCAAUUGUCAAUGCAAAUUGCGAGUUUUUAUAUGUUCACACGGGUACCAAUGGACGGGUAUCAGAUGGAGGAAUAUGGAGUCAAACAGGAAUUUACAAACGUUUAAUGUCAAACAAGUUAAAUAUACCGAAAGAAACUAAACUUUCUGGCAGUAAUGACUUAUGUUUUUAUUGGAGAUGAAGCAUUUCCGCUAAUGAAGAAUUUAUUGAAGCCAUACCCGCAGAGAGGAAUAACUCAUGCUGAAAAAAUGUUCAACUAUCGCCUUUGCAGAGCCCGCCGAGUUGUCGAAAACGUGUUUGGCAUCCUAGCAUCACGUUUUAGAGUUUUUUUACAACCUAUUGCUACAAGUGUUGAAACAGUAGAUGAUAUCGUCCUUGCGUGCUGUGCACUUCACAACUUUUUGAGGAGGUUAUCGAAGAAAAGCUACAUAACAGAAGCAACUGUAGAUUUUGAAGACACAAUCAGUGGCGCGGUUGUGCUGGGGGAAUAGAGACAAACUACUAAUUUACUAAAUCUGGAAAAAAUUGCAGCAAAAAAUUCAAGUAAUGCCUCAAAAAAAGUAAGAUUCUUAUAAAAACUUUUUCAAUACUAAUGGAAAAACUACAUUCCAAGA